UUUCCAGACUCCUACGGGAGGCAGCAGUGGGGAAUAUUGCACAAUGGGGGAAACCCUGAUGCAGCGACGCCGCGUGAAGGAAGAAGUAUUUCGGUAUGUAAACUUCUAUCAGCAGGGAAGAAAAUGACGGUACCUGACUAAGAAGCCCCGGCUAACUACGUGCCAGCAGCCGCGGUAAUACGUAGGGGGCAAGCGUUAUCCGGAUUUACUGGGUGUAAAGGGAGCGUAGACGGCGAUGCAAGUCUGAAGUGAAAGGCGGGGGCCCAACCCCCGGACUGCUUUGGAAACUGUAUGGCUGGAGUGCAGGAGAGGUAAGUGGAAUUCCUAGUGUAGCGGUGAAAUGCGUAGAUAUUAGGAGGAACACCAGUGGCGAAGGCGGCUUACUGGACGAUGACUGACGCUGAGGCUCGAAAGCGUGGGGAGCAAACAGGAUUAGAUACCCGAGUA
This 447-nucleotide ribosomal RNA is filed under the name uncultured bacterium. RNAcentral's name for it is "partial 16S ribosomal RNA". It matches the Rfam family "Bacterial small subunit ribosomal RNA", at positions 328 to 792 of the family's 1533-position model. The record is from RNAcentral.